RNAcentral lists this long non-coding RNA (221 nucleotides) under Ananas comosus (pineapple). RNAcentral's name for it is "long non-coding RNA (ACOM_LNC001646)". Lineage: Eukaryota; Viridiplantae; Streptophyta; Magnoliopsida; Poales; Bromeliaceae. The record is from RNAcentral.
GGAAUGAUUCCUGUUGCGAGCCGAACGUCCUCAUCUUUAACUCGGUCAAAGAUCUCCCUCGACAAGCGUGCAGGGAUGUGAAACGGUUAUGAACAGUGACCUUUGAAGUUUGCGCCCUUCGACUGAAUCAAGCGAUUCGGCUGACGAGGGAUCGGAUCAGCCGAGUUCAAAAACUCUACUGUAGAUUCGGUUCGGCUGGAUGAGCCGAAUGUACGGACUGU